GCUUAUCAUGCAUGAGAUUCCUUACAUUUAGAAAUUUUGAAUGUAAAGAAGAUAAAAUGAAUAAAAAUAAUUAAUAUGUAAUUGAAAUAAAUGGAAAACUAGAGCGAAAAUUGAUGAGCAUAGAAAAUAUAUAUAGAUGCGCAAACUGUUGGAAUCUAUGAGUUGGGAUUGUUUGUUAAUUUCCCAGUUCCCAUGCUUUAAGAAUUCAACGACCUGUAAUAUCUACUGAAGCUAUCAGCUGUUAAAGAUGUCUCCAUCACUCUGCAACUACAUGUGUGAUUACUCCGCAACCCUAGACUGCAACAAAAGCAUACAGCUUUAGUAGGCGCCUCAGAGAAUACAUAUGCCAAGUUUUGCUGUUGCGGUUGCUGCUGUUGGUCGUGGUGGUGCUGCUGCUGAUGGUGGUUUGAUUGCUUCUGCUUAAUAAAAUUUAUAGAUGAAACUUGAGGCUGGUGAUAUGAAAGGCCUAUAGAUAGCUCAAGAUUGAUUUCUGGGCAAACUUCCUCUGUGGUCACUCCACUGCUGCUGUUGGAAUCUUCAGCUGAUGAAUCUGUGCGAACCUUUAUAUUGGAAUUGCAUAUCUUCAUACUACCGAUACACUCUGGCGCUUGCACAAAUUGUGCUAAUGAAUUGUGUGUUUCUAUUUUAGAAACAUUGAUGCUGCCCUUAUUAUUUUUGUUAUUGUUGCUGCUGCUCCAGCAAUUGCUGAGUGCCGCCGAGGCUGUGGUGGUGGUGGUGGUGGCGGUGAAAGGGGAGGAUCGACCUCAACUAGGGGAAGGGGGCCCACGACUCCUGCUCCACCUCACACUGUUCCUCGGAGAUCUGAUGUCCCUGAAUCAGAACCUACUCUCUCUGGUACCAGCAUUCGACCUGUGAAUAUUUCAGAACAUUUGGCUUCUCCUUCUUCUCCUUCGGAUACUACCACUAGGGUUGUCCCAGUUAAACGGCCAGAUAAAGGUGGCACACUGGCCAUCCGAACUGCUAGCCUUCGUGUAAAUCAUUUCCCUGUCAGGUUCAAUCCUGAGAGUAUCAUAAGGCAUUAUGAUAUUGAUGUUAAACCAGUUGUGCCACCCAAGAAUGGUCGUGCUGUGAAAAUAUCAAAGUCUGAUUUGGCAGUGAUCAGGAAUAAGUUAUUCACUGAUGAUUCCUCUCAGUUUCCCUUGUCCAUGACUGCCUAUGAUGGUGAGAAAAACAUUUUCAGUGCUGUUCCUUUGCCCACCGGAAAGAUUAAGGUGGAGUUCUCUGAGGGGGAAGACAUGAAGGAUCGUGCUUACACAUUUAAUAUAAAGCUUGUGAAUGAACUUAAGCUUUGCAAGUUGAAGGAUUACUUAACUGGGAAACUGUUUUCAAUCCCUCGUGACAUAUUGCAAGGGAUGGAUGUUGUAAUGAAGGAGAACCCAGCGAGGCAUAUGGUUUCUGUUGGCCGCAGCUUUCAUUCAACUGAAGCUUACAAAGAAGAUCUUGGAUUUGGUAUCACAGCGUCCAGAGGUUUUCAGCAUAGCCUCAAGCCCACCUUCCAGGGUCUAGCCAUGUGCUUGGACUAUUCUGUACUGGCAUUUCGCAAGCGACUUCCAGUGAUAGAUUUUCUUAGAGAGCAUGUUCCUGGGUUUAACUUAAAUGAUUUCAGAAGCUGUGGAAGAGAUGUUGAGAAUGCAUUGAAGGGACUGAAAGUUACAGUGACUCACCGCAUUACCAAACAAAAGUAUACUAUUGCUGGACUUACAAAGGAUAAUGCACGUUAUCUUUCAUUUUUUUCUGAAGACCCAAAUAGCAAAGCUCCACCAAGGAAAGUUAUUCUUGUUGAAUAUUUCAGGCAAAAGUACCAGGAUAUACAAUUCAAAGACAUUCCUUGUCUUGAUUUAGGCACAAACAACCGAAAAAAUUAUGUACCAAUGGAGUUCUGUGUCCUGGUUGAGGGUCAGAUUUAUCCAAAGGAGAAUUUGAAUCGAGAUGUGGGCCUCUAUUUGAAGAAGAUAUCCUUGGCAACUCCAAGGGACAGGCAGAGGAUAAUAUGUGAUAUGGUAGCUGAUAGAGAUGGGCCUUGUGGUGGAAACAUAAUCCAGAAUUUUGGAAUGGAAGUUGACAUGGAUAUGACUUCAGUGCUAGGGCGUGUGAUUGGGCCACCGGAGUUGAAGCUAAGUGCUUCCAAUGGAAGGGUGAUAAAAAUUGCUGUUGACAAGGAAAAGUGCCACUGGAAUCUUGUUGGAAAAGGAGUGGUGGAAGGGAAACCAAUUGAUCGGUGGGUUGUGAUUGACUUUAGUUCCUCUGAACGUGGUCGUUACAAAUUAAGGCCAGAGCAAUUCAUUCCAAAGCUUAGAGCUCGGUGUGAGAAUCUGGGGAUCUCUAUGAAAGAGCCUCUCUUUUGUCAUCCUGCUAAUAUGCAUAAAUUCUCAAGUGCUGAUUUGCUUCGUGAUCUUCUUGAAGUUGUUAAUGAUCGUGCUUAUAAGAUUUGCAGGGGCCAGUUGCAAAUUAUUAUUUGUGUGAUGUCUAGGAAGGAUUCUGGUUACAAGUAUCUUAAGUGGGUUUCUGAGACAAGAGUUGGUGUAGUGACUCAGUGUUGCUUGUCUGAUCAUGUCAACAAUGGGAAUGACCAGUACUUUGCUAAUCUUGCUCUGAAGAUCAAUGCAAAACUUGGAGGUAGCAAUGUCGAGCUUAUUGAUCGACUUCCAUUUUUUGAAGGUGAAGGCCAUGUUAUGUUUAUUGGGGCUGAUGUUAACCAUCCUGGCGCCCGGAACAAAACAAGUCCAUCUAUAGCUGCUGUUGUUGCUACUGUAAAUUGGCCUGCUGCAAACCGCUAUGCAGCUCGCGUUCGUCCACAGUAUCAUCGUAAGGAGAAGAUUCUGAAUUUUGGAGAUAUGUGUUUUGAGCUUGUGGAAACUUAUGUUCGGCUGAAUAGAGUCAAACCAGGGAAUAUUGUAAUAUUCCGAGAUGGUGUAAGUGAGGGCCAGUUUGAUAUGGUUCUCAAUGAAGAGCUUAUGGAUCUCAAGAUGACAUUUGAAGCAUUGAAUUACUUCCCAACCAUCACUGUCGUUGUUGCGCAGAAGCGACACACAACUCGGCUGUUUCUAGAUAGCGACAAGGAUGAAAAUGUGCCUCCAGGCACUGUGGUGGACACAAAAAUUACGCAUCCUUUUGGAUUUGACUUCUAUCUUUGCAGCCAUUAUGGUCAUAUUGGAACGAGCAAGUCAGCCCACUACCAUGUGUUGUGGGAUGAAAAUGGGUUUACUUCUGAUGAAUUGCAGGAGCUUAUUUACGCCAUGUGCUUCACCUGUGCUCAAUGCACUAAGCCUGUCUCACUGGUGCCUCCAGUGUGGUACGCUGACCGUGCUGCUUAUAGAGGUCGGCUUUACCAUGAUUCAAUUGAGUGGUAUCAGUCUUCAGCUUCAACACCAUCUUCAUCAUCACCAUCUUCAAGAUCAUCAAUGGCUUCUUUUGAUGAGCAGCUGUACAAGUUGCACCCUAAUCUGGAAAACUCGAUGUUUUUCAUUUGAGGCAUCUCCUCCUCUUUUCACAAGAAGGGACAGGAGAUAGAUACAUGUUUUCAAUCAAGAUUGCCGAGUUGCAUUUCCAAUCUACAGGCUGGAAAAGCAGUUUGUGCGUGAAUCUAAUGGGGUUGAAGUUUGUGUCUUUCCAGUAAAGUGUUUCCUCUCGAGUUCUCAUGGAAUAUGCAUGCCAGAGCCAUUUGAAUUUAGAGGGAUAUAUGUGUUUUGUGUUAGUUUGUCAGUGUUUAUUUGGAUUAAGUUUGUAUCUGAAGUCUUAUCACAUCUGUAGCGGUUGUGUUUGGAUGUUUUGCUACUGGUCCUUUUGAAGUCUGUCAAUGUUUUUCUUUUCCUUGCUGCCUCAUAUACGAGUUGAGCAAGGAGAUAGUGUAGUAUUUGAUGCUACAUUGCUAGUCUUAUCAUUGUCAGUGAAUAAAAAUACCAUUACUGGUUUCUUUAUUACCAUCUUCAUAUGAUUUGAAUAAAUC
This 3967-nucleotide unclassified non-coding RNA is filed under the name Hevea brasiliensis (rubber tree). The record is from RNAcentral. Lineage: Eukaryota; Viridiplantae; Streptophyta; Magnoliopsida; Malpighiales; Euphorbiaceae.